CAGCAACCCAACAAUGGUUUGUUUGAUUCAUCUGAAAAUUUCUGGGCUGAUAGAUCUUGACCUAAUGAACAUUUUUACCCCAUGUCAGAUUUGCUCUAAAUGCUUCCGUUUUUGAGAUAUAAGCCAAAAACUGCAUUUGACCCCUAUGUUCUAUUUUAAGUAACGGCGGCCAUGUUUUUUGACGGAUCAAAAAUCGAAGCCCACACUUUGUGCAGGAUAAUCUAAGGAACAAUCAUUUUAAGUUUCAUUCAAAUCCAUUCAGUAGUUUCAGAGGAGAAGAUGUUUGAAAAAUUGUUAACGACGACAGACGACGACGACGACGGACGCCAAGUGAUGAGAAAAGCUCACAUGGCCUUUUAGGC
RNAcentral lists this long non-coding RNA (362 nucleotides) under Mytilus galloprovincialis (Mediterranean mussel). The record is from RNAcentral. Lineage: Eukaryota; Metazoa; Mollusca; Bivalvia; Mytilida; Mytilidae.